This 513-nucleotide ribosomal RNA is filed under the name uncultured bacterium. RNAcentral's name for it is "partial 16S ribosomal RNA". It matches the Rfam family "Bacterial small subunit ribosomal RNA", at positions 28 to 523 of the family's 1533-position model. The record is from RNAcentral.
GACGAACGCUGGCGGCAUGCCUAAUACAUGCAAGUCGAGCGAACAGAUGGAGUGCUUGCACUUCUGACGUUAGCGGCGAACGGGUGAGUAACACGUAAGGAAUCUACCUAUAAGCGGGGGAUAACAUUCGGAAACGGGUGCUAAUACCGCAUAAUAUCUUCUUCCGCAUGGAAGAAGAUUGAAAGACGGCCCUGCUGUCACUUAUAGAUGACCUUGCGGUGCAUUAGUUAGUUGGUGGGGUAACGGCCUACCAAGACGAUGAUGCAUAGCCGACCUGAGAGGGUGGUCGGCCACAUUGGGACUGGGAGACGGCCCAAACUCCUACGGGAGGCAGCAGUGGGGAAUCUUCCGCAAUGGGCGAAAGCCUGACGGAGCAAUGCCGCGUGAGUGAAGAAGGCCUUCGGGUCGUAAAACUCAGUUAUAAGAGAAGAACAAAUUGUAGAGUAACUGCUACAGUCUUGACGGUAUCUUAUCAGAAAGCCACGGCUAACUACGUGCCAGCCGCCGCGGUAA